GCCUGCCUUCCUUCCCGGCUUUCGGAGGUACCCCCAAUCCAAUCCCACUCUGUCCUCUCCUUUGCCUCGACGCCAAAGUCCUUAGCACCAGCCCGGCAUGUACACGGUCCGGCGAGGGGCCGAGGGCUCUGCGCUCCAGGGCCUGGGCAGCAGAGAGGAGACCGGGGGUCAGGGGCCAAGGGGACGGAGCCUGAACUCCGGGUCCUCUCUGGGCAUUGCCCCGCGCGUGCCCUUGGCAGUGCAGCUUGGUCACGCUCGCUGAAUACGUUCCAGUCUCUGUCCGGAACGCUCCGGGGACUUUGGUUUGCACCUAGAGCUCCUUUUGUGUUCUCUGGAAGCGCGGCCCCUCUCCCCCUACCCCUCACUCCUUCCGUGAAGCACCUGGUUCCCGGAGCCGACAGCAUCCCCUCUGCCCUGCGCCCCUCUUCCGCAGCUCCGGGCGGAGAACCGACUGUCCGCAGGCCGUGGCAACCCCCUACAUGUCCACCAGAUGGCGCUCCAGGCCAGGGGCCGAGCGGCGGCCGGACAGCCCGCCCCCGGGCUGCAGCCUACCUUGGACCCAGAGCCGCGGCAGGAUCCGCUCCGAGACUGGGCCGCAGGCCCAGGGGGUGGACGCAGGCCGCUGAGAGAUCGAGGCGCUCCGCGCACCCGAAGGAAACUCCAGACAGAGGAGGCAGACACAAGGAUGGGACUGCCCGAGGCUCGGGAUGGGGUCCUGAGCACUUCCGGAACCAGCUGGCUCCAGCUGCCUCCAGCAUCCUUGUGGGAUGUGGUUCCUCCCCCCAUCCAAGCCGGAUUGCACCUUGGUACAAGCUGCGGCAGAGGCGUAGCUUGAUGGAGGGUAGAUUGGGCAGCCAGCACCGCGGUUUAUUCACUGACUGUGACUUCUUCAAAAGAGACAAGGGGAUACUCAUGGAGGACAUUCAGAAAUGCUCAGGAACAAAACGUCAGCGGCGUGUGGGAGUUCACGUGUCACCAUGGUGAGCAGGAGUGCAGCUUAGCAAGGUGGAGGCCUGCUGGUUGGACCAGCUGGAGAACUCGGUCUUCCUGAUCAUUGUCUGCAUGGAGGAAAUGGAUGACAUGGAGAAAAAUCUGAAGCCAUGCCGCCUGCAGAUCUAAGCUCCCAAGGUGUCCCCGGACUCCAUGAUGGCAUGUGCAACGGGAGAUGGUGGCAGGCAGCUGUUAUACACCGAAGCCCAGCUCACAGACGCUCUGCGGCCUCCCCACAAAUACGUGCCCUAGGUUUCCGACAAGGGGAAAUCCAUAAAGGAGAAGGACCAGCUAGCUCUUCAUCUGCUGACUGUAUGUGGAUGAGAUGUCGGAUGUCUGCCAACUCAUAGCCAACUCUCCCAAGGAUGCUUGCUUCAAGUGACAGCUGGUGCCCUGGGAGGGAGCUAAUGCAAGAACAAGAUCUCACCUGCCCCUAGUUUUCUGAUCCUUGACUCAGCAGCCACUGCUUAUCAUCCAGGUAGUUUCUACAUAUUCCAUGAAACCCACACGCAAAACUCUCCCCUGCCUGAGAUCAAGAAUCUUGCCCCACUGUGAAUGGUGCUACAUUAAAAAGAGUUUAAUAGACACUUCUAGCUGUUGUAAUUUUUUUUUAAAUGACAAAUUUAUGUAUAUUAUUUUACUUCAGUAGAAAAAGUUGAGCCAGCAUGUUUCAAAUUCAUAAAAUACCUUUGAUUUGAAUUUUUAAAAGGUUCCUCUCCUUUUGAGUGGAAUUAAGUGAAGUGCUGGCUGAAUU
Bos indicus x Bos taurus (hybrid cattle) is the source of this 1744-nucleotide long non-coding RNA. Lineage: Eukaryota; Metazoa; Chordata; Mammalia; Artiodactyla; Bovidae. The record is from Ensembl.